GAAAUGCGAUAAGUAAUGUGAAUUGCAGAAUUCAGUGAAUCAUCGAAUCUUUGAACGCACCUUGCGCUCCUUGGUAUUCCUUGGAGCAUGCCUGUUUGAGUAUCAUGAAAUCUUCAAAGUAAAUCUUUUGUUAACUCAAUUGGUUUCUACUUUGGUAUUGGAGGUCUUUGCAGCUUCACACCUGCUCCUCUUUGUUCAUUAGCUGGAUCUCAGUGUUAUGCUUGGUUCCACUCGGCGUGAUAAGUUAUCUAUCGCUGAGGACACUGUAAAAGGUGGCCGAGGUAAAUGCAGAUGAACCGCUUCUAAUAGUCCAUUGACUUGGACAAUACUUUUAUGAUCUGAUCUCAAAUCAGGUAGGACUACCCGCUGAACUUAAGC
This 378-nucleotide unclassified non-coding RNA is filed under the name plant metagenome. Its description in RNAcentral is "partial contains 5.8S ribosomal RNA, internal transcribed spacer 2, and large subunit ribosomal RNA". The stretch from base 1 to 105 matches the Rfam family "5.8S ribosomal RNA", at positions 50 to 154 of the family's 154-position model. The record is from RNAcentral.